GAUGAACGCUGGCGGCGUGCCCAAUACAUGCAAGUCGAGCGAACGGACGAGAAGCUUGCUUCUCUGAUGUUAGCGGCGGACGGGUGAGUAACACGUGGAUAACCUACCUAUAAGACUGGGAUAACUUCGGGAAACCGUAGCUAAUACCGGAUAAUAUUUUGAACCGCAUGGUUCAAAAGUGAAAGACGGUCUUGCUGUCACUUAUAGAUGGAUCCGCGCUGCAUUAGCUAGUUGGUAAGGUAACGGCUUACCAAGGCAACGAUGCAUAGCCGACCUGAGAGGGUGAUCGGCCACACUGGAACUGAGACACGGUCCAGACUCCUACGGGAGGCAGCAGUAGGGAAUCUUCCGCAAUGGGCGAAAGCCUGACGGAGCAACGCCGCGUGAGUGAUGAAGGUCUUCGGAUCGUAAAACUCUGUUAUUAGGGAAGAACAUAUAUGUAAGUAACUGUGCACAUCUUGACGGUACCUAAUCAGAAAGCCACGGCUAACUACGUG
This 497-nucleotide ribosomal RNA is filed under the name uncultured bacterium. RNAcentral's name for it is "partial 16S ribosomal RNA". It matches the Rfam family "Bacterial small subunit ribosomal RNA", at positions 28 to 507 of the family's 1533-position model. The record is from RNAcentral.